Molecule: long non-coding RNA, 5234 nt
Organism: Aethalodelphis obliquidens (Pacific white-sided dolphin)
Lineage: Eukaryota; Metazoa; Chordata; Mammalia; Artiodactyla; Delphinidae
Exons: 6
Source: RefSeq, a predicted model, not a curated record
CCUCCCUUCCUCCCUCCCUUCCUUCCUUCCUUCCUUCCAUCUUCUCUUGUACUGAUUUCCUUUCUGUUGAGCUGCCUUGGCACCAAAUCUUGCAUAUGGGAAACUGUAAACUUCUAAAAGGCGGGGUUUGGUAAACCCCCCAUAACAUUUUGCAUCACACUCUAAACAAAUAAUUUCUCAAUACAAGUUUAAGGGAUACAGACUUAAAGAAUCAGAGCUGAAUGCCUUGUAAUCUUAGCCCUGGUAAGACUGGUUCUCUUGACAGUCCUUGGAGCAUCUCCCCAAGAUAUUUUCUCUGUGUUUUUGCAACGAGGGACAGUUUUUCGAGUCACGUAUUUGCUGCUUCAUCUGCUGCGGCUCCCUUUCUGUUGUGAUCUCUGACCGCGGAGCUGACACAUGCGGGCUGUCUCUCCUCUCUCUUACACAGCGCAGCAUGUUGGUGCCCCAUGUUUUAUGUGCCGGCACCCCACUCCUAACAUGUUCCUGGGUAACGCGGCUUCUGCUCGAGCGCCCUUGAGACCCACUUAGAGCAUGUGCUUGGUUGAUCUAAAACUUUUCAGUAACCCUUCUCUGCCUUGAAUAGGAAAUUACAGGAGAAUGCUCUAUUUCAGCAUCACUUUGCAGUCAUUCCACCUUUAUGUCUUCCGGUUUUGCAUCCCCAAAUUGACCUUGUCCGCUGUAGCCAUUGUCCAGCGCUCUACAAAGGGGCUGCGUGCGUCCAGAACACGUCUCCAGAACUCUUCAUUUUGUUUCGGGAGCGAGCAUAGGUAAUUCUGAUUCCGGGUCAACUCCAGGGGUGUAAAAUCUUCAAAGCUGUUGUCUGGUCUAAAUAUAUUGGAAGGCGUUCACUUCUGAAGAGUACAUCAUCUCCGGAAUGUGGAUCACUCUGUAAGCCUCUCUUGGAGGAAUAUUAGCAAUGGUCUUCUAAAUAGUCUCUCUCUGGAUAAUUGUUUUGUCACAGGUCAUUUUUGAGCUACUUACUGUCACCACUAUAUGCACAGUAUUAAUCUAAUUUUAUUCCCUCAACUUGUGUGUAUUCUCAUCUUGCUCCAUCCCUUUCCCCUUUGUAAUAUAGACAAGCGUAAAUCAACCAAAGGGGUCCUCAUAAAAGCUUUCUCUAAACCUCAGAUCAGUUCAGGGCCCUCUGUGGGUUUUUUGUUUUUUUCUGUUCAAGUAAAUCCUGUGUAUUUUCUUCCUAGAAAUAAUCACAAUUGUAACAAAAUAAUGUACUGGAUAAUUGUUUAAUGUCUGUCUUCCUCCACGUAACCCUCCACGCAGGCACGGGUCUUCUCUUAUUCAACGUGGGAUUCCCAGCUCCUAGGCCAUCGGCUUCAAUAUGGUAGGCGUUCCGUAGCGGCUGUUGAAUUAACAUUAUCCUCUUACUUUACUAGUUUUACCGACUGCUCUUUGGCUGUUAUUUUAAUUCUAAGAAUGCAAUCCUUUGGCCACCAAACUGAUAGGGAAGUCUGCUUUGCUGAUAAGCUCGCUCUCCCCAUAGGCAAAUCUACAUGUGAAUUAAGCCUUUGAAAUACAAAUUGCUAUGGAAACAGCCCCGGGUUCAGUUUGGAAGUGGAGGCUGAGGCUGCCCUUCUCCUGGUGGAGGGAGCUGGUCACAGACAAAUCCUGGCUGCCUGGGCUCUCCAGCCCCCAGCACCCGCUAGUACCUUCGUUCUUCAGCUUCAUCCAUUUACUUUGUUUCGAUUGUUGCUGGAAAUAUACGGAUACAAUCAAGUUUCUGCCCUUGUCAAAUUCCUCAGGGUGUUUCUAAAUUUCUCCACAUAAUCUUUCUGACUAUUCCUUAAGGAACUGGAGUGAAUGUCCUUUUCCUGGAGGCCACAAAGGCAGCCUCUACACAUCCAAUGCCAGGUGACAAGGAUGCAUGAAUAUGACUAGCACAGAAGGGUCGGAAGCAAAGCUAUAAAUGAGAAGUCAGGGAGAUGUUGCCUUCGUUCUGAGAAGAGAACGUUCUGAGAAGGAGAACUCUUCAGCUGUGCCUGAGAAUAGCAAAAGUACCUUUGAUGAGCAUUCAUGAUUGUUGAAAAUGGGGAAAGCAGAGACGGAAGCAGCAGCAGAAGACCUCUGAGAGACAAAGGUGCACCGAAACUACACCCACAGGAGCUGCCUGCAGAGAUUUGCUUAAGUACAGAUGAGGAAACUGAAGCUUGUAGAAGUUAAAUAACUUUCCCAAACAAAGUGGCAGAAGCAAGAUUUUAAAGCCUGGCCUUUGUUUUCAAGAAUCCUGAGCCCCUGGAGAAAUUAUACCAAGGCAGGAGACCAGCGCCUCUGAGCACGAAGGAAAGAGCUGCAGAGAUACCCGACUGUAAUCGCAGAGUCCGCAACCUUGUGAAAGGUGCUGAGUGGCUCCGAAGCAUGGAAGCUGACCCUCGGGGACCAUGUGGGGCUGGAACAUGAACGUGUUUGAGGCAUCCAGAAUCGGUGGAGCAUCCCCGUGUGGUCAGUUCUGGGUGCUCUUUUUGAGGGAAGUCAGAUCAUGGAAGAGGUCCUGCUACACUGAGACAACACACAUUGGAGGGGCAUCUUUGGGAGCAUCCAGAGAGAGAGCCCCAGCUCCAUUCCCAGCCAACAGCCAGUCUCCAGCGCAGCUACGUGAGUUACCCUCUGGGACAUCUCGGCCAGCUGAGCCCCCAGAGGACUGCCGCCCUGGCUGACCUCCAGACCAUGACUGCAUCAGAGUCUCAGGUGAGAUAAGCCUAGCCCAGCCCUGCCCAGACCCCUGACACACAAAGUCAUGACAAAAUAAAAUGAAACGCCUCUAAGUUCGGGGAUCAUUUUUUACACAAUAAGAUUUACUAGAAUGGUAGCCUUAAAAUUAAUUUAUGUGACUCUUAGGUAGUUAGUAAGGCUAAUGUACAAUUUUCAAACAACCAAAGUUCCUACUCCUGGUUUUAUCAUUCACUAACCCUGUGAGCUAGCCAAAGUGUCAUUUUAAUGCCUUGGUCCCUUUGUCUAUAAAAUGGGAAUAUUUCCUUAGAGUUAUUUUAAAGUUUAAGUGAGAAUACAUGUAAAAAUCUUUUCAGAAGGGAGCAUGUGUAAAGCAUGAUCUUCAUACUAAACUUAGCUAAUAAGUAAAAAUUAUAAUGCAAAUGUCUUAUAAUAGAAAUGCAAUGUUAGUUUUUCUUACAGAUCAAAUUUUCAGAGAUAUUUAAGAUAUUUUUCUUAUUUUCCAUAAUAAUGUUUAUUGUUGGAUUGAGGGAGUGAAAGAAUACAAAUUCAAUCAAAGUACAUAAAAGCAUAUGCUUAUUUAGAGGUUCAUUUUCUUCUCCCUUCUUGUUGUGAUAUUACUCUCCAUGAUGUAUUAUGGGUUUUAGGGGUCAUUUGUAUUCAUCAUAAAAAUCUCCUUUGGUAUUAUUAGAGCUCACUGUGGGAUGCUUAGGACUGUCUGAAAGUCAUUCAUCAUUCAGAAUUUAUGAUAAAACCACUGUUAGGCAGCUCCUAGACACUCUGUCAUAUUUAUACUUCUGGAAAACAACAUAGUGAAAGAACAUUUAGGAAGUGACCUUGAUGCUUCCACAUUGUGCUAUUGGGAUAAAUAUCAUCAAUGCUAGAACUUUUUAGCAUCAAUUCUAUCAAGAAUCAACUGCUAAUAUAUCUGAAAAGCUACAUUCCCACAUUUUAUUUCUGACUAUUUCCCUCUGAGUGUAAAUGAGCUGUUUCUAGCAAGCAUGGUCCUUGAUGUGACAUUGGAGUGUACCUUCAAAUCAUUGACAAUUACUAAGGUCUUUCAAGAGAUGAAGGCUGCAAUCUUCAGAUUGUAUUUCUGGGAAUUAUAUAUAUAUAUAUAUAUAUAUAUAUAUAUAUAUAUAUAUAUAUAUAUUUAGCCAGACUACCUUUUCUGUAGAAGGAAGAAAGUUGCUGUGCAAAGAAACUGAGCUGUCCCCUUGAAUAAGCCUCACGGGUCUGAAAAUCUGCUUCUAAAGGGUGCCCAACUCACGGUGAGGCCAAAAAACCCUAAAUAUCGGAGUUUGGAGCAAAGAAAGGUUUAUAGCAGGGCCAAGCAAGGAGAAUGGGUGGCUCGUGGACCCCCAGAAAAGCUCAAACUCCCCGAAGUGUUUCAGCAAAGCAUUUUUAAAGGCCAGGUGAAGGAAGGGCAUCCCAGGGUGUGUGAUCACCUCAUGUGCAAUUCUCUGAUUGGUUGAUGUUGAGGUCAUAAGGUGGUUAACAAUAUCAAUCCUAAGGCACCAGGUCUAGGGGCUAUGCGCUCAUGACCAUCAGGUAGUUAAUUUCUGCCAUUUGGUUGUGGUUUCUAGCAUCUGAAAAACUCAAGAAAUACGCAUGAGAUACUAUUAUCUGGGUACUUCUGGGUACUUCAGAGAGGAGUGACAGCAGAUAUGGGGGAGGGUUCUGUCCCAGAAAGGCCCCGUAGGGCCACAGAGUCCUGCUGGUUACAAGGGAAGUUGUGCUUCUCUGUCUCGAUAGGUAUCUACCAUUUCCUGGAGUCAUAGAUUACACAGGAAAUAGAGGAGACGCCCUGAUUUCUCAUCAUCCCAGUGAUACUACCUCUCUUACCUAUGCGAGGGUGGUGAACUGUGCAGUUUAUCCACAGUGCUCGUGUGCAUGCCUUCUCUUUCUGAAAGCAGUAAAGAAAAAAAAAUCACCCUUUGUGUAGAAUAUUUAAGACAAUGCCAACCCUCGUUUUGGAAGACUAGAAAUUAUCUUAUUAAGUGUUGUUGUUUUCCAGUACCAAAGCCAGUUCUUCAAUGCAAAGUACAAAGUGUGAAACUUUCUUGUAAAAAAAAAAAAAAUCCUCCAUGAUUCUAAUGAAGAAGAAAAGCAAAAAUUACACAGAAUUCAGAGUCCCCCCAAAUUUGGAUACUUAUUUUUUUUCCAGGCUUAUUUCUCCUUAUUCUCUCCCGAUGGCCCUACUCCCACUGUAACCAGUCUCUCAUUGGCAAACAUGCUCUUAGACUUUACACAAACUAUUCCCACUGCUAGGAAUGCACUUCCCUGUUAUUCCAACGGUUGAAAAAGCCCUGCCCUUCCCCAAGCGCUCCACUGAAUUCUAAUUUCUAAAACUUCCCAUAUGUUCUCCAGCCGGAAUUAUCUGUCCCUCAGACAUACCUUCAGGGGAAUCUGUUUAUACUUCUAUCAGUGGUCUAUUGUGAACUGUAUUUUAUCAUUCAUUAUAUACCAUGUUUGAGAUUAAAGAUGCUUAACACGUUGGUUGUCAAGAAUUGUGAAGCGUCUAAGACUUUAUCUGAAUACAAGUCAACGAG